UAUCACCGAACUUUUGGCGUCGCGCGUAAACCACCGGCACGCUUUUCACGCGCACGUUCCUUACGUCGUUCUUUCUGUGUCACGUGGUCACUUGACUUCAUUCAUGGAGACAGGUCCUUUUAUACCACGAGCGUGUAUGCCCUGACAAGAAAACGGACGGUCGAUGCACUUUCAAUCGCAGUUCGAUCGCGAUACGUAAUCUCUGAGCGCACAGAGGCAACCGAAUCGAGUAAUGUGCAUACCAUGAGAUUCGAAUGGAAGAAUUAAGAUGAAAAAAAUACACGACUUGCCACCUGCAUAUUAUCCUUGAUAAACGGGCUGUCUAAUUUUAGCAUGAUCGUAGGAUAAUGGGAAUGAGAUUUGACAUAAUGAUUGUUUACUCAAUAGCGUAGAGUUUAGAAAAUAUGUAGAACAAAAUGAGGAAAUGAAGAUCGAGCUGAUUUCACAGCCUCUGAAGACGACAGACUUUUGCCUCCUUCUAAUAGUCGCUACAACAUUAAAAUAUCUUCCGGUGUGAUUGUAACUGAUCGUAACUGCCAGGCUAUUGCAUUAACAUCUGUCAUUUAUGAAGAUGUUCAAGAGGAAAGUCACAGUUGAUGCGUAAUUUCGGUAUAGUGUCUAAACAUUGCACUACGUACCAACGAAGUUCUUCUAUGCUUCUUCAUUUUAGUCGCCCUUUUUCAAGCCUUGGGGGACAUAUUCUCACGAAAUCCGGUUCUACUGGUUUGGUGUUAGAUACGAAGGUUGUCACGUUCUCAAAGGAGAUGAUAUUUAUUACUUCAAAUUGGUUACAAAAUACGCCAUAACUCUCGCAUAAUUUAUGACUGUACCGAUGGUGUUGACGACGCAUCCCGUGAAUACAUCUCUCUCAUAUAAUAUUAUACAUACGAGAGCAAUACGAGAGACCAGGUGUAUUUAAAUAUUCAUAUGCAAUGUAUCACGAAUCAUACAUCAGUUUGCGGCUACGAGCAUUACAAACGCCGAGUCUACGCAACAUAUACAGAGUGACUUUUUAAUAAAAUCAUUGAUUACCUCCCUUUUAUUAAUAUGUGCAAUGCUUAUGACUUAUGUGAAACAAAAAAUGAUUUAAAUAAAUAUGAUGUCUGCCGCGAAUCGCUUUUAAAAAAGCCAAAGUAUUCAACAAGUAAAAGAAGUUCUUUGAAAUUGUAACAAUGCAUAGCUAGUAUCGGGAGAUAAAUGUUUCACUCUGUAUGCAAAAAUAUCAUGUAGCCAAACACCAUCUCCUGCACAACAGGUUGUUAAUUCCUCUCUGUAAGAUCCACGGCGGUGGGCUUCAUUAAAAAUUGAACUGGUCAGAAUAUCAGAGAGAAGAAUAAAUUUAAUACGUAUGAGCCAUUAAUUAGCGGUCCAAUUGCUGAUAUUCUUAUUAUACAAGGAGGGCGUAACGUACGUAGAAUGUGCUUCCAAAAAAAACCUUCGUAACUACAUCGAUUUGUUUGCUACGUUUGUAUGGGAAAUAAAAACUAACAACAUUAUACGCGCGAAACCUAUAUAGUACGUUUAAAUAUGGUAAAGUGCAAUCAUAUAUUUACAUAAAAAUGUCCAUAAUUCAUAUAUACCUGAAAGGCUAAAGAAUACAAGCAGAAACCGAGAAUAACAAGCCAGAGUCCAAAGACAUCGCCAGGACCAGUCUUGGAUCGAGCAACAACUCUAUAUCCUCACUGGAAUAAACUAUGCUUACUAUAAGAAUCAGCGAAAAAAUAAGAAGAUAUUACGCUUAGACAAAUCGAACGAUCCCGCUAAUAUCAAUCACUACGUCGAAAAAGUUCAAUAGCACUAGUUUUGCACCGAACGAUCUUAACUUAUUCUAAAUCCCACAAAUCUAUCUACAUUCGUCUUGGGACAAGGAAUACCCCAAUGGAACUCGUUCUGGGUUACAGAAUCCUAUCUACGUCUAAACGACAAUUCGAACUUUAAUGAUUUAUUUGCAAUAAUUGCGUCGAGUAGUAAUUCGGAAACUAAAUUUGAGGAUUGUAUAGAUAUGUUAAAUCAAUUUGAAAGGAAUUCUCUUCGUGAAGGACUAGAGAGAGGAGAACAUGGCAAGAAAAACAAUUAACUCUACACAAACACAUUUAUAGCUGCCGGGUUUCGCGAGCAAUGAACUCAUGGGAAACAUUAAAAUAUCUUCGGAAAAGAAGGAGACACAUAUUUUGCUUACUCCAACGCUAUAUUUAUUUUAAACGUACAGCUUUAAAAUACAAAAUAAAUGUUUGCUUAAACAAGAGAUACGUAACUGUCAAAUGGAAUUUCUGCCUUCUUCUAUUGACGCAUGUUUAUUAAAACUUAAGGAUCACCCUUUCUUAUGCUAAUCCUGUGCUUCCUCCGUAUCUCAGCUCAUUGUAUGUAUAUUGAAACUACAUUUAUAUAAGUAUGUAAUGUGUAAAGAUUAAAGGCACAUCAAACGUGAAAAACAGGUAAUACAAUUAUUGGACGAACAAAUAUUGAAUUAAUUAUUAUUAAGUAUUCAAAUUAAUAAAAAGUUAGUUUAAUAUUAAUAAAAAGUUUAUUAAAGUAAAAUGUUAGUAAAUUUUUUUUGGAAAAAAUGUUAAUACAGGCACAUACGUAUAUCUAGGAAAUAAUAUCUUUGACAAAGAAUUCGUGAACAAUGUGCAAUAGACUUCUGUAUCAUACACAUAGCUCGAGGAAUUUUUUAAAAGAAUUUUUCUAGGCACGCACAAUGUACACCAGAUCGGACAGGUAAGAUAUAACGAGUGGGAAUACAGAAAGGAAACCUCUAUAACGGUAUAAAAUAUAGUGGAACUGUUUGCUUGCAGAAAACAAGAAAUGGAAUACGCAGUCUUUUUCCCUGAGGACGAUCUAGAUUACAGAAUAAACCGCGCAUUACGAAGGGGACCGCAUUUCCUCAGGUUAUCUGUGUAUACAUUUGGUACAAGCAGAGAAGAAAUUUCUUCUCUGGUACAAGACAAGAUUUCCAUACGACUUUAUUACAGAAACGUCUAUUUGGGUGAUCUUAUACGGUAUUGUGUUUCUUUGCAAUGAUGUCACAGAAAAAAAUACUAAAUAAAAGUACAAAGAUAGUUUAUUAUUAAUAUAAAGAACUAGAAAAAAUAAACAUAUAUUUAUAUGAUCUUUUAAUUUCAUUAGCUGCAAAAUUUUAUUUACACAGUCAUAAAAUCCCGCCACGACACGCUAUCAUCAUUUUACCAAUUUGAAAUUUUCGCACGGCACCAUUAUAGCAAUGUCUUAAGGCUUAAGUAAUAUCCUGAAGUGACAGCGGCGGAUAUUACCUACUGCAACUUCGUACAAAAUAGACGUUACGAGGUCUGCCGAUGCACAAUUGAGAAACACUAUUUGAAUAAUUUCCUUAGCAAUAAUUUCUUCAGUCACGAAUAAAACGCGUAUCAUUUUGCUCGCAUAAUACAAUCACUAGAGCAAUUAAUUUGAUUUUUUGAACAUCAUUUAAUCAUCAAACAUCAUUAUAAUUAAAUGUAAAAUACAACUUUCAUACAUUAUUCUUAAUAUUUAUCAUUUUAUGGAAGAUAUUGAGACAAUUAUACAUUUUAAUAGAUCUAACUUAUAAAUAUUUGAUAUAUUUAGUUUUCAUUCGAUAUAUAUAUAAAAUCUUUCAUAUUACAUAAUUACAUAAAACUUUGAGAGAUUAAAUUAAUAUUUAAUAAUGCAUAAAAAAU
Bombus huntii is the source of this 3671-nucleotide long non-coding RNA. RefSeq lists it as uncharacterized. NCBI's taxonomy places the organism in Eukaryota, Metazoa, Arthropoda, Insecta, Hymenoptera, Apidae. The transcript has 6 exons. The record is from RefSeq and is a predicted model, not a curated record.